ACCCGCUGAAUUUAAGCAUAUCAAUAAGCGGAGGAAAAGAAACCAACAGGGAUUGCCUCAGUAACGGCGAGUGAAGCGGCAACAGCUCAAAUUUGAAAUCUGGCCUCACGGUCCGAGUUGUAAUUUGUAGAGGAUGCUUUUGGCGAGGUGCUUUCCGAGUUCCCUGGAACGGGACGCCAUAGAGGGUGAGAGCCCCGUACGGUAAGACCACCGAGCCUCUGUAAAGCUCCUUCGACGAGUCGAGUAGUUUGGGAAUGCUGCUCUAAAUGGGAGGUGUACGUCUUCUAAAGCUAAAUACCGGCCAGAGACCGAUAGCGCACAAGUAGAGUGAUCGAAAGAUGAAAAGCACUUUGAAAAGAGGGUUAAAAAGUACGUGAAAUUGUUGAAAGGGAAGCAUUCAUGACCAGACUUGGGCUUGGUUGAACAUCCAGCGUUCUCGCCGGUGCACUCUGCCAGUCCAGGCCAGCAUCAGUUUGCCCCGGGGGACAAAGGCGGUGGGAAUGUGGCUCUCUUCGGGGAGUGUUAUAGCCCGCCGUGUAAUGCCCUGGGGCGGACUGAGGAACGCGCUUCGGCACGGAUGCUGGCGUAAUGGUCAUCAAUGACCCGUCUUGAAACACGGACCAAGGAG
RNAcentral lists this ribosomal RNA (628 nucleotides) under uncultured fungus. RNAcentral describes it as "eukaryotic LSU rRNA". It matches the Rfam family "Eukaryotic large subunit ribosomal RNA", at positions 23 to 673 of the family's 3401-position model. The record is from RNAcentral. Lineage: Eukaryota; Fungi.